Molecule: long non-coding RNA, 1265 nt
Filed under: Parus major (Great Tit)
Lineage: Eukaryota; Metazoa; Chordata; Aves; Passeriformes; Paridae
Description: lncRNA (ENSPMJG00000009276.1)
Source: RNAcentral
AAGCACGUGUCCACUUGAGACCGACAAUCCACAGAGCUCUCUCAAAGUUUGGUAACACGCUUUUUGAAAUGUGGCUAGAGAAGAUACCAACAGACUUCAGAAGACUGGAUUAGACAUGGAUUCAAUUUGUGGAGGGUAUCAAACUCAUACCUCCCAUCACUGAGGUAGGUGCCCUGCAGGGUAGGAGUAAUGGACAUGUCUCAAAUUGAAGGUGCGUUUUUGUAGUAAUUGUUUAAUGUAACAUACAAAAAUAAUUAGCCUGGAUUACAAUUAGACUAGUUUAGACAAGUAGAUUUGUUUAGAUUACAGGUCCUCUAGAUGUGUGCCUUUUUUCUAACAAUGGCCGUGACCUUCUGCAUUUGUGAAUUUGCUCAAGAAAAUGAAGGCAUCCUUGAAUCCUGCAGUCCUCUCCAACCUCAGAAACUCCUGGGAUUAUCCUGCAUAACUUCAAGUGCACUGUACUGUUUGGUGCAUUCUUAGUGCUCUUUACAAGGAGGAAGGAGUGUUGUAUAUAAAAGUCAUGGUUAUUUCAUUACCUUUGUUUGGGCUUAUGUUCCUACUGUCUUAACAGCAGAAUCAUUUUACUGGUCUGCUGGUAUAGGCAGAUAUAUACUCUGAAUGAGAGUACAUGCUGGCCACUACAUUGAGAGAUCAGGCUUGUCUUUAUGUAGAGGUAAUCUGUGAUAUGUAGAUCAUUUCUAAGUAGGCUAUAGAGCACUCGCUGAUUGUAUGGCUUGGGUUUUUUUGGUUGAUCAGCUGUGAUACAAAGAUUUGUUAUAUUCCCACAUUCUGUCUGCAAUGGGUCUGAGAAAAAGAAAUAUCCAGUCCCCUCCACAGUGUGAAACUACUGAAGUCUUCAAAGAUGUUGUGAGAGGUGGCUGUGCAGAGAGCACUCCUUUCCUGUGCACAGUCAGAUCUCCUCUGUGAUGAGGAAUUUUCCAUUAUCUCAACAGCCUCUUAUCUGGACCAACUAAAACUGAGUCAAUACAAAAUGGAGGUAUUUUUGAAGUGAGCUAUACAUACUUCAUUCAGUGUACAAGCAUUUAAGUGGGUGCAGAGUUUGCAUACCAUGUAACAAAUCUGUGAACAGGCUGUGAUAGUAAUACUUGUGGAAAUGCUGGCUUUUUUAAGGAAUCAGCAUUUUGGUAUUGCAUAUAUCACAGACAAUUUGCAUUCAUUUUGUAUACAAAUUUGCUACUGCACAGAUAGAAAUUUAAAGCUAUAUUGAUUUAAAGUGUCAAAAGAAAGCAAAUAUGAAUUCCUGC